RNAcentral lists this transfer RNA (75 nucleotides) under Acinetobacter sp. C_3_1. RNAcentral's name for it is "tRNA-Gln". It matches the Rfam family "tRNA". Rfam says of the family: Transfer RNA (tRNA) molecules are approximately 80 nucleotides in length. Their secondary structure includes four short double-helical elements and three loops (D, anti-codon, and T loops). The record is from RNAcentral. Lineage: Bacteria; Pseudomonadati; Pseudomonadota; Gammaproteobacteria; Moraxellales; Moraxellaceae.
AGGGGCGUAGCCAAGUGGUAAGGCCCCGUGUUUUGAUCUCGGCAUCAGUUGGUUCGAAUCCAGCCGCCCCUGCCA